GCCGGAUGUGGUGGCACAUGCCUGUAAUCCCAGCUACUCAGGAGACUGAGGCAGGAGAAUGGCCUGAACCCGGGAGGUGGAGGUUGCAGUGACCGAGAUCACACCACUGCACUCCAGCCUGGGCAACAGNNNNNNNNNNCUGUUGCCCAGGCUGGAGUGCAGUGGUGUGAUCUCGGUCACUGCAACCUCCACCUCCCGGGUUCAGGCCAUUCUCCUGCCUCAG
Non-coding RNA from Gorilla gorilla gorilla (western lowland gorilla), 223 nucleotides. Lineage: Eukaryota; Metazoa; Chordata; Mammalia; Primates; Hominidae. The record is from Rfam.